ACUGGCGGCGUGCUUACACAUGCAAGUCGAACGGUGAAGCCAAGCUUGCUUGGUGGAUCAGUGGCGAACGGGUGAGUAACACGUGAGCAACCUGCCCUGGACUCUGGGAUAAGCGCUGGAAACGGCGUCUAAUACUGGAUAUGAGACGUGAUCGCAUGGUCGUGUUUGGAAAGAUUUUUCGGUCUGGGAUGGGCUCGCGGCCUAUCAGCUUGUUGGUGAGGUAAUGGCUCACCAAGGCGUCGACGGGUAGCCGGCCUGAGAGGGUGACCGGCCACACUGGGACUGAGACACGGCCCAGACUCCUACGGGAGGCAGCAGUGGGGAAUAUUGCACAAUGGGCGAAAGCCUGAUGCAGCAACGCCGCGUGAGGGAUGACGGCCUUCGGGUUGUAAACCUCUUUUAGCAGGGAAGAAGCGAAAGUGACGGUACCUGCAGAAAAAGCGCCGGCUAACUACGUGCCAGCAGCCGCGGUAAUACGUAGGGCGCAAGCGUUAUCCGGAAUUAUUGGGCGUAAAGAGCUCGUAGGCGGUUUGUCGCGUCUGCUGUGAAAUCCCGAGGCUCAACCUCGGGCCUGCAGUGGGUACGGGCAGACUAGAGUGCGGUAGGGGAGAUUGGAAUUCCUGGUGUAGCGGUGGAAUGCGCAGAUAUCAGGAGGAACACCGAUGGCGAAGGCAGAUCUCUGGGCCGUAACUGACGCUGAGGAGCGAAAGGGUGGGGAGCAAACAGGCUUAGAUACCCUGGUAGUCCACCCCGUAAACGUUGGGAACUAGUUGUGGGGACCAUUCCACGGUUUCCGUGACGCAGCUAACGCAUUAAGUUCCCCGCCUGGGGAGUACGGCCGCAAGGCUAAAACUCAAAGGAAUUGACGGGGACCCGCACAAGCGGCGGAGCAUGCGGAUUAAUUCGAUGCAACGCGAAGAACCUUACCAAGGCUUGACAUAUACGAGAACGGGCCAGAAAUGGUCAACUCUUUGGACACUCGUAAACAGGUGGUGCAUGGUUGUCGUCAGCUCGUGUCGUGAGAUGUUGGGUUAAGUCCCGCAACGAGCGCAACCCUCGUUCUAUGUUGCCAGCACGUAAUGGUGGGAACUCAUGGGAUACUGCCGGGGUCAACUCGGAGGAAGGUGGGGAUGACGUCAAAUCAUCAUGCCCCUUAUGUCUUGGGCUUCACGCAUGCUACAAUGGCCGGUACAAAGGGCUGCAAUACCGUGAGGUGGAGCGAAUCCCAAAAAGCCGGUCCCAGUUCGGAUUGAGGUCUGCAACUCGACCUCAUGAAGUCGGAGUCGCUAGUAAUCGCAGAUCAGCAACGCUGCGCAAUGCG
Molecule: ribosomal RNA, 1321 nt
Filed under: estrogen-degrading bacterium KC5
Lineage: Bacteria
Description: bacterial SSU rRNA
Rfam family: Bacterial small subunit ribosomal RNA
Source: RNAcentral